CCUUGAAUAGAGAGUCGCGUCAUCUCCAUUCACUCUAAUGGGCCAUUUUUUCACAGCAAUGGCGGAUCGCGGAGCCUCUCAGUAGUUCCCGGAAGUAAGCGGCACAUGCUAGCAGCCAUUGGAGUUACAGCAGAAAAGACCGGCUGUGUUGUACUUCUAACGGGAGCACUGGGUGGUGGUGGAGCAGUGAUGCUGCAGGACCACUGUGUGAGAGAGGACGCUGCAGCACAAGAACAACAGGGGGAUGCAAUGGAGCCUGAACUCACCCUGCAAUGAAACAACCCCCUUACCCUGAGUCUCAGCUCCCUGGGUUUUGCAAGCCUUUCUCUGUUCCUUAUUUUUAAUAAACCAAACACUGAGCUUCCCAAUAGUGUGGUAUUUGUUUGUGGAAAUGUGCUAAUGCAGUAUUUGAGAAUGAUAACCUUACAUAUUUUUGUUGUUGUAGUCUGUAGUGAGUCUCAGGUUACUCCUGCUGACUUAGGCCAAAAAAAAAAUUCUCAUCUCUGUGUCAAUGAAGAAAUUGUGCAUGUGUACCUCUCUCUCUAAACGAGUGGAACAUCCCCACACAGCACCAUGGUGGAGACUGUACAAGAGGACAACACAGAAGGAAGGGCACAGACAAACUGCUUAACAUCCAAGUCACGUUUCUGAGUUUAUUAAAAAUGAAUUUGUUAUAGUAAAUAAGUACAUAGUAAAAAGACAAAGAUACAUAAAAUAUACGUAUGUGUACUGUGUAUUGUUUUUCUCUAUAGCUGAUGUAAGGUGAAUUACUCCUGUGUGUGAUCAAUAAAGUUCUUAUCUUAGCCAUCUGAGAAGAUCAAA
Molecule: long non-coding RNA, 822 nt
Organism: Epinephelus fuscoguttatus (brown-marbled grouper)
Lineage: Eukaryota; Metazoa; Chordata; Actinopteri; Perciformes; Serranidae
Exons: 3
Source: RefSeq, a predicted model, not a curated record